CGGACGGGUGCGUAACGCGUGGGAAUCUACCUUGUAGUGGGGGAUAGCCCGAAGAAAUUCGGAUUAAUACCGCAUAAUCUCUACGGAGCAAAGUGGGGGAUCCUCGGACCUCACGCUAUUAGAUGAGCCCGCGUUGGAUUAGCUUGUUGGUGGGGUAAUGGCUCACCAAGGCGGCGAUCCAUAGCUGGUUUGAGAGGAUGAUCAGCCACACUGGGACUGAGACACGGCCCAG
Molecule: ribosomal RNA, 232 nt
Filed under: uncultured bacterium
Lineage: Bacteria
Description: partial 16S ribosomal RNA
Rfam family: Bacterial small subunit ribosomal RNA
Source: RNAcentral